CAUGAAAUGAAAUAAAGCAAGAUUUAAAGUACAUGUAUGCUAUGAUUAUGGCCACAUUUUUUAAAUUGCAUGCUUAAAAAACUGAUAAUGUGAAAUUAUGGGUGAUCAUUUCUUUAUUUUGAAUUUUCCAGAUUUUCAGCCAAAUAACUAUCAGUUUUAUAAUUUACCUUCCCCAAAAAACAUCGCAAUGGAAAUGGAGAGACAAGUAGACCAAGGAACCACCAAGUGAAAGCACUGCCCAGAAACAGGAAAAUCCUGGGCAAAAAUAAGCAGGAGCGGCCUCAGGAGUGAAAUAGGUGGCUCCAGACUAAUGGGAAGGAAGAGAAACAGACCAGCAUCUAAAUACAGAGUGAUUCUUCUAUUAGGCAAAAUAUCUCCCAACACCAUCUAAAAUUCUCCUUGACCCAGAAAUUCUACCUCUAAGAGUUGAUUUGAUGCAGAGACAAAGGAUCAGUAAGAAUGUAUUCCUGGGUCUUCACAAGAUGGCUGGAUAGGAACAGCUCUGGUCUGC
This is a long non-coding RNA of Cercocebus atys (sooty mangabey), 511 nucleotides long. RefSeq lists it as uncharacterized. The record is from RefSeq and is a predicted model, not a curated record. The transcript has 3 exons. Lineage: Eukaryota; Metazoa; Chordata; Mammalia; Primates; Cercopithecidae.